RNAcentral lists this ribosomal RNA (116 nucleotides) under Ipomoea nil (Japanese morning glory). Lineage: Eukaryota; Viridiplantae; Streptophyta; Magnoliopsida; Solanales; Convolvulaceae. The record is from RNAcentral.
GGAUGCCAUCAUACCAGCACUAUCAGCACUCCCCAUCAGAACUCCGAAGUUAAGCGUGCUUGGGCGAGAGUAGUACUAGGAUGGGUGACCCCUGGGAAGUCCUCGUGUUGCAUCCC